Molecule: long non-coding RNA, 506 nt
Organism: Mercenaria mercenaria
Lineage: Eukaryota; Metazoa; Mollusca; Bivalvia; Venerida; Veneridae
Exons: 3
Source: RefSeq, a predicted model, not a curated record
CAGCAACCAUAGGGUUUCAGUCAGAAACUUCACACACUAGUAGCUGAUAACAAUACAAAUCAGUGGCUAAAAGGAUAUUUCUAAGGCGAUGAAUUCCAUAUGUCAGAAGGAAAUUUAGAAUCGUACAACCAGUCAGCAGCUACCCAUAAACCAGACCAACCUAUUAAGUCGAGCGGGCAGAAGCUGUGAUUCCCAGUGUAACACCGCAGAAUGACGGCUAGUUUUCGGAUUACAUUUCUGUGCGGAAGGAUUAAAAAACUACACCAGACUGGUGGCCAUGACAGAUGUCAGUGGGAAAUUUAAACAUGGACUAGAUACUUUGAUGUGUAGCAAAAAAGUUCAUCGUUGAUGGUGGUGUUUUUCUGUGAUAUAUUGACUGGGAUAGUAUUACUCUUUAGAAAUACAGAGCUGUCAAUGCUGCAAUUUUGUUGUGAAAUUCACAAUCCAUGUCCAAAAGUGUUUGUUUUACUAUACAGCAAAGAAGGAGAAAUUGUACCGGGCCGACA